AUACGGCGGGUCCGAGCGUUAAUCGGAAUUACUGGGCGUAAAGCGCGCGUAGGUGGUUCGGUCAGUCAGAUGUGAAAGCCCCGGGCUCAACCUGGGAACUGCACCUGAUACUGCUGAGCUAGAGUACGGCAGAGGGCAGUGGAAUUUCCGGUGUAGCGGUGAAAUGCGUAGAGAUCGGAAGGAACACCAGUGGCGAAGGCGACUGCCUGGACUGAUACUGACACUGAGGUGCGAAAGCGUGGGUAGCAAACAGGAUUAGAUACCCUGGUAGUCCACGCCGUAAACGAUGUCAACUAGCCGUUGGGGGACUUGAUCCUUUAGUGGCGAAGCUAACGCGAUAAGUUGACCGCCUGGGGAGUACGGCCGCAAGGUUAAAACUCAAAUGAAUUGACGGGG
RNAcentral lists this ribosomal RNA (396 nucleotides) under uncultured bacterium. Its description in RNAcentral is "partial 16S ribosomal RNA". It matches the Rfam family "Bacterial small subunit ribosomal RNA", at positions 523 to 918 of the family's 1533-position model. The record is from RNAcentral.